CAGAGUCGUAAAAAACUCCCAAACCCAUGUGAACUUACCAUUGUUGCCUCGGCGGACCUACCCUGUAGCCAGCUACCCUGUAGCGACCUACCCUGUAGCCCGCCGGUGGACCACUAAACUCUGUUAUUCUAUGGAUAUCUGAGCGUCUUAUUUAAUAAGUUA
Molecule: unclassified non-coding RNA, 162 nt
Filed under: uncultured Cylindrium
Lineage: Eukaryota; Fungi; Ascomycota; Sordariomycetes; Hypocreales; Nectriaceae
Description: sequence contains ITS1
Source: RNAcentral